AGCGAACGCUGGCGGCAGGCCUAACACAUGCAAGUCGAGCGGCCGUAGCAAUACGGCAGCGGCAGACGGGAGAGUAACACGUGGGAACGUGCCCUUUGGUUCGGAAUAACGCAGGGAAACUUGCGCUAAUACCGGAUAAGCCCUUACGGGGAAAGAUUUAUCGCCAACGGAGCGGCCCGCGUCUGAUUAGCUAGUUGGUGAGGUAACGGCUCACCAAGGCGACGAUCAGUAGCGGUCUGAGAGGAUGAUCAGCCUCACUGGGACUGAGACACGGCCCAGACUCCUACGGGAGGCAGCAGUGGGAAUAUUGGACAAUGGGCGCAAGCCUGAUCCAGCCAUGCCGCGUGGAUGAUGAAGGCCUUA
RNAcentral lists this ribosomal RNA (363 nucleotides) under uncultured bacterium. RNAcentral's name for it is "bacterial SSU rRNA". It matches the Rfam family "Bacterial small subunit ribosomal RNA", at positions 29 to 419 of the family's 1533-position model. The record is from RNAcentral.